Molecule: ribosomal RNA, 653 nt
Filed under: uncultured Actinomycetales bacterium
Lineage: Bacteria; Bacillati; Actinomycetota; Actinomycetes; Actinomycetales
Description: bacterial SSU rRNA
Rfam family: Bacterial small subunit ribosomal RNA
Source: RNAcentral
CUCGAGUGGCGAACGGGUGAGUAACACGUGGGUGAUCUGCCCUGCACUUCGGGAUAAGCUUGGGAAACUGGGUCUAAUACCGGAUAGGAACCAUCUUUAGUGUGGUGGUUGGAAAGUUUUUUCGGUGUAGGAUGAGCUCGCGGCCUAUCAGCUUGUUGGUGGGGUAAUGGCCUACCAAGGCGGCGACGGGUAGCCGGCCUGAGAGGGUGUACGGCCACAUUGGGACUGAGAUACGGCCCAGACUCCUACGGGAGGCAGCAGUGGGGAAUAUUGCACAAUGGGCGCAAGCCUGAUGCAGCGACGCCGCGUGGGGGAUGAAGGCCUUCGGGUUGUAAACUCCUUUCGCUAGGGACGAAGCUUUUUGUGACGGUACCUAGAUAAGAAGCACCGGCUAACUACGUGCCAGCAGCCGCGGUAAUACGUAGGGUGCGAGCGUUGUCCGGAAUUACUGGGCGUAAAGGGCUCGUAGGUGGUUUGUCGCGUCGUCUGUGAAAUUCUGGGGCUUAACUCCGGGCGUGCAGGCGAUACGGGCAUAACUUGAGUGCUGUAGGGGUAACUGGAAUUCCUGGUGUAGCGGUGAAAUGCGCAGAUAUCAGGAGGACACCGAUGGCGAAGGCAGGUUACUGGGCAGUUACUGACGCUGAGGAGCGAAA